This 76-nucleotide transfer RNA is filed under the name Mycoplasmatota bacterium. Its description in RNAcentral is "Tenericutes bacterium tRNA-Gly". It matches the Rfam family "tRNA". From Rfam's summary of the family: Transfer RNA (tRNA) molecules are approximately 80 nucleotides in length. Their secondary structure includes four short double-helical elements and three loops (D, anti-codon, and T loops). RNAcentral also lists the same sequence under 1 other name. The record is from RNAcentral. Lineage: Bacteria; Bacillati; Mycoplasmatota.
GCGGGUGUAGUAUAAUGGCUUAUUAUGUCUGGCUUCCAACCAGAGGAUGCGGGUUCGAUUCCCGUCACCCGCUCCA